Molecule: long non-coding RNA, 216 nt
Filed under: Lathyrus oleraceus (garden pea)
Lineage: Eukaryota; Viridiplantae; Streptophyta; Magnoliopsida; Fabales; Fabaceae
Description: Pisum sativum (pea) long non-coding RNA (PSAT_LNC005067)
Source: RNAcentral
AUCCAGUGUCAUGGUUGUGAAGGGUAUGGACACGUCAGAGCUGAAUGCCCUACUUACCUCAAAUUGCAAAAUAAGGGGUUAGCUAUCACAUGGUCUGAAGGAGACUCUGAAAGUGAAUCUGAAGGAGAAUCUGCCAAACAUGUCACUGCACUAACCAGUGUUUGUGCCUCUGAAGAUGACUCAAGUGCAGAUGAACUGACCUUUGAUGAACUUGCA